RNAcentral lists this transfer RNA (73 nucleotides) under Morchella angusticeps. RNAcentral describes it as "tRNA-Phe". It matches the Rfam family "tRNA". From Rfam's summary of the family: Transfer RNA (tRNA) molecules are approximately 80 nucleotides in length. Their secondary structure includes four short double-helical elements and three loops (D, anti-codon, and T loops). The record is from RNAcentral. Lineage: Eukaryota; Fungi; Ascomycota; Pezizomycetes; Pezizales; Morchellaceae. RNAcentral also lists the same sequence under 6 other names.
GCUUGAGAAGCUCAAUUGGUAGAGCGGGACACUGAAGCUGUUCAGGCUGUAAGUUCAAAUCUUAUCUCGGGCA